RNAcentral lists this ribosomal RNA (303 nucleotides) under uncultured bacterium. RNAcentral describes it as "bacterial SSU rRNA". It matches the Rfam family "Bacterial small subunit ribosomal RNA", at positions 493 to 793 of the family's 1533-position model. The record is from RNAcentral.
CCGGCUAACUUCGUGCCAGCAGCCGCGGUAAUACGAAGGGUGCAAGCGUUAAUCGGAAUUACUGGGCGUAAAGCGCGCGUAGGUGGUUCAGCAAGUUGGAUGUGAAAUACCCCGGGCUCAACCUGGGAACUGCAUCCAAAACUACUGAGCUAGAGUACGGUAGAGGGUGGUGGAAUUUCCUGUGUAGCGGUGAAAUGCGUAGAUAUAGGAAGGAACACCAGUGGCGAAGGCGACCACCUGGACUGAUACUGACACUGACGGUGCGAAAGCGUGGGGAGCAAACAGGAUUAGAUACCCUGGUAG